This 2920-nucleotide long non-coding RNA is filed under the name Homo sapiens (human). Its description in RNAcentral is "non-protein coding lnc-JMJD4-4:4". Lineage: Eukaryota; Metazoa; Chordata; Mammalia; Primates; Hominidae. The record is from RNAcentral.
AUGUGCAGCGGCCAGCGCACCGGCUCCUGCCCUCGCCGCGGCCUCUGCCAGGACCCCGACACCCCGCCCGACCCUACCCUCAAGCGGGGCUGCGGCCUCACCGUCUGCAACAGCCGCUCCGUCCGGCAUUUGGCGUGCUCCCCGGGGCAGAGGCCGCGGUGUCCUCAGGCUGUGGCACCAGCCUGCGACCCCCACGCCCGGCUCCGGCCCAGGAGGAGGAGGGCGCUGCUCCCCGGGUAGGGCGACCGGUCACCUGGGCCGGGAGGGCGGCGCAGGGGCGGAAGCGGCUGUCCGGGCUGCUGCUUUGGACUUCUCCGCCCUCUGGCCGGCCCGGCCGCGUCGCCCAGGGCUCCAGGGCCGCCUGGCGCCACCCUCUCCCAGCGCCGCGGUCCCUCCGGUACCUCCCUGGCGGCUGCGGAGCCCUCCUGGGACAGGGUCCAUAAACUCUCUAGAGCGGGAAGUCGCGCAGUCGCGGGGCCGUCACGGGGACCGCUCGAGAUCCGAGCCCACUGGGUGCCCCGGACCCUUCUCUCGCCGGCCCGGCCCCGCGCCCAGACCUAGCGGCCGCUGGCGCCUGGCCCGCUGCGUGGGUCUUCGGUGAGCUAGCUGCCCACCCAGUGCUGCGGCCUCGGCUCCCGCAUGCGCGCUCUGGUGGUUCCUUGCUAGGGGCGACCCUGUGGGCCAGCUUCCCACGCCCGGUCCCCAGGCCGCGCCCAACCCGGCUCCCUGGGCUAGGGUACUGGCUCCUCCUGGGGGCCGUGGGACUGGGAGGCAGGGGCGUUAAGGGAGACGGUGGGACCGAGGGCAGCCCCUGCUGAGUGCACCGCGAGGUCGAGCGCAGGCCUCUGUUGCACAGUGCGCGGCUUUUGCUGGGACUGUGCUGGGGCUCAGAGGGUGGUAUCAGUGCCAGAGGCGAUGUCAGGGAGGCUUCACCAAGAAGAAGCCGCGGAGCUGACCCCUGGGGUGUGAGCAGGUCUUCUUCAGGUGGAAGAGGGCAGGACCGAAUUGCAGGUGGAGUCAACUGUGUUUUCGCACACCUGGGGGGUGAAGGGGACGCAGUCUGUCUACCUGACCCGUGAAAUGUAGGAGACUGUACCCCAGAAGCAGCGGGUUUACUGCUGCAUUGAUUAACCAAGUCUGGAACAAACAUGUAGCUAAGCUGCGAGUUCUGUGCCAGUGGUCCCAACACCCACUCCCCCAGGAAAACACAGCUUUGGAGGUUGGGUGCUUGUCAGGCCUCAGAAUGGAGAGCAGGGGCCAGAGACACCAAGCAGGGGGAACCCACCCUAGGCCUCUUGAGGGACGACGAUGUGGGGAGCUGGUGGCAGAGCCUGAGCUGGCCCGAGGUUGCAUGGUGGGGACAGAUUCGAGGCAUAGUAGGGACUGGUGACCUCAGUUCCCAGAAUGUCCCAGCCUGGCCUCCUGGUCCAGCUAGCAAGUAGUGGGUGCUGCCCUGCAAAGACUCUGGGGGUGCCUGGGCCCCCCCUCACCAAACUUGACUGGUGACUUCUGUGUUCAUCCUCACAAGAAGAGGGAUUUUCUCUCACUUUCAGGCAAGCCCAGGAAAGUCAGGGGCCUAUGUGAGCCAAAGAGGAGAGAAGGCGAUGCUUUAGCCCAUUGUUUCUGCCCCGCCUGGUUUGUGGCCUUGGGGACUUGAUUUGCACCACAGGAUAAAGGGCAAUGAAAGCCCCUCCCUGACUGGCUUCUCACUCCACUCUGACCAGCCCAUUGCACAGCGCCCACCCUGCAGCUCCAGGUACAGCCUGUGCACCUGCAGCUCCAGGUACAGAGGCUGGGCUGGUUCUGGGCUGACCUCAGGGCCUUCUGAUGGUUGCAACCCUCAGGAUGCCUCAUGCUCACCCCUUGGCACCCACCUGACAGCUCAGCAUGUCUGCUAUAUGCCAUCCUCAAUGCCUGCUCUAGACAAGCCCAAGUCCCCCAGGAGUGGCAGAGGGAACUGAGCUGGGAACUAAGUCCCAGCUCACUGAACCCCAAGUGGGCCUCCCACUUUAGGUCACAGCCCCAGGCAAGUUCCCUUCAGGGAUGUGAUCCCAGGGGCCACAGCAGCACGUUCUGGCCUAACCUAUUCACUACUCAAUUAGUUACUGAACAGGCCAGGAUGGGCAUGGGCCCUGACAUUAAUCCCCUUUCUCUGUGAGGGGGCUGGAUUGGGUUUGCCAUCCUGAUGUCUUUGUGGAAAGAGCUGGCAGGUGGAGCAAGUCUCAGGGGCCAGCCAUAGGACAGGGAACCUAGGAUUCGCCUCUGCUGGAACCCUGUGAGGCCCCUGCAGGCAGGAGGGUCCAAUGGAGGUCCAGGCACCUCUCCCAGCUUGGUGUUCACAGCUCCUCCCUGGCCCACUCCCUCUACACUUGCACCUGCUGGUCUCUGGGAGGAGAGCAUCCAUCCAUCUUCUGCAUGUAGCUUUCUGCUGCAUUUCCAUGAGGAUGGUCUCCUUGAUAGAAUGCCCAGCAGGGUGUCCUGAGCCUGUGCUGGCUGUUCUCUAAGUGCCAAGUCAGUGAGAGGGACUUGAAAACUCAAGACUUAUUAACAUUAUUUUCUGGUAAAGUGCAGAAAAAUAAAAAAAAUAAAAAUAAAAACCCUGCUUUCAGGGUUUUUUCCUUAAAAUGUGUAAAAACAAAUAUUGAAAUUUCUAUCUUUUAUAUAAUUUGGAUUCUGUCAUCACAUGGACCUUUCAUUUUCCUGAAAUUUAUUUUUAUAUAUGUAUAUCAAACAUUGAAUUUUUAUUUUCUUCUUUACUGAAAUUGUUAACCGUUUUAGAGGCCAAUUUUUUUUAAAAAAAAAUCAUACUUCACAAACAUUAAUAAAAUGUAGGAAUUUAUUUAUAAUGUUAUUAUACUUUUUUCUUUCUUUUUUUUUUUUUUUUUUGAGACAGUCUCGCUCUGUCACCCAGGCUGGAGUG